GAGUUUUAAGGGUUUAGCGUUAACAGACUUGGGUGUGUCAAUAGGUCUAAGUUGUAGGAUGGAUUGAACAAUGACCUGCUAGUCAGCCCUGUUAAGCUUAUAAAUUAUACUUUAACUUGUUACUAGAUUAAUCACCCUCCUGCUUCAGCAAAGACAAUUCCAAUUGGUUACAGUGACAUAAAGGUACUGCAAUAGAUGUUUGAACAGUAUUCCAGUUUCUCUACAGAUGAAGGAAGUAUUUUUGAGGUGCACAACUUGUCCAUCAUUUGAAACUACUACUGC
RNAcentral lists this long non-coding RNA (282 nucleotides) under Phoenix dactylifera (date palm). Its description in RNAcentral is "long non-coding RNA (PDAC_LNC014827)". Lineage: Eukaryota; Viridiplantae; Streptophyta; Magnoliopsida; Arecales; Arecaceae. The record is from RNAcentral.